RNAcentral lists this ribosomal RNA (521 nucleotides) under uncultured bacterium. Its description in RNAcentral is "bacterial SSU rRNA". It matches the Rfam family "Archaeal small subunit ribosomal RNA", at positions 345 to 866 of the family's 1478-position model. The record is from RNAcentral.
AACCUCCGCAAUGUGAGAAAUCGCGACGGGGGGAUCCCAAGUGCCAUUCUUAACGGGAUGGCUUUUCAUUAGUGUAAAGAGCUUUUGGAAUAAGGGCUGGGCAAGACCGGUGCCAGCCGCCGCGGUAACACCGGCAGCUCUAGUGGUAGCAGUUUUUAUUGGGCCUAAAGCGUCCGUAGCCGGUUUAAUAAGUCUCUGGUGAAAUCCUGUAGCUUAACUGUGGGAAUUGCUGGAGAUACUGUUAGACUUGAGACCGGGAGAGGUUAGAGGUACUCCCAGGGUAGAGGUGAAAUUCUGUAAUCCUGGGAGGACCGCCUGUUGCGAAGGCGUCUAACUGGAACGGUUCUGACGGUGAGGGACGAAAGUUAGGGGCGCGAACCGGAUUAGAUACCCGGGUAGUCCUAACCGUAAACGAUGCGGACUUGGUGUUGGGGUGGUUUGAGGCUGCUCCAGUGCCGAAGGGAAGCUGUUAAGUCCGCCGCCUGGGAAGUACGGUCGCAAGACUGAAACUUAAAGGAAUU